RNAcentral lists this non-coding RNA (808 nucleotides) under Pongo abelii (Sumatran orangutan). The record is from RNAcentral. Lineage: Eukaryota; Metazoa; Chordata; Mammalia; Primates; Hominidae.
AUGCAGCCCACCAGCUUGCAGGGAGGGCAGACCCUGGGGGAUGUGAGGGCGGCUUUCUGGGAACCUCACGCAGAUCCUAAAACGAUGAGCGCCAGGGAGCCCCGCCUGCUUGUCCCCUCCCCAGAUCCCUCGGGCUCUGGAGACCUUGCGGGCCCCCUGUCUGUGGCCACCUGAAAUAGGUCCUGGAGCUGCUACUGCUGGCUUAGGCUGGUUGGUGGAAAGGAUCCAGGGCUGUUUCGGUGAAGGCCUUGGGGAGUCCAGAAGCCGCCUGGCACCUUCUGGGUCCAGACGCUGCCCUUCAGCCCUGCCAUUUCAGCCAGCCUCAGCUUCUCCGCUGUAGAGGCAGGCCGCCCUUUCUGCCGCUGUCUGGCUGGGCUGGGCCGUGGGAGUGCUGGCCAACGUGCCAGGCAGGGAGGACCUGAAUUCCUGAAGGUGGUGGUGGCAGCUGUUAGGGUCCACAGGUUAAUGAUCUCCAACGUCACACAGAAGAGAAUGUGCUGAGGUGUGACCUCCCUCACCCUGCCUUGGCUGCGUGGGGCACUGCCUCUCCAGGACUCACCCUGCCCCCAACUAGACUGAAGUCUGACGAUCAGCCCAGUCUUCCUUCAGGCCUCGAUGCCCUCUCGCUUCCCCAGCCCGAGGGACUCCUUGCUCUUCUCAGAGGCUGCUCUGCGGGGUCCCUACCCUGGGCCUUUGCUAAUGCUGUGCCCUCUGCCUGUCCCAGAGGUGGGCCUGGCCUGUUUCUCAGGGAGCUCCUGAACACCAAGAAAUUGAAUUGCUUUAUAAAUAAACAAAAAGUGCCGAACAA